UACGUAGGGGGCGAGCGUUGUCCGGAAUUAUUGGGCGUAAAGAGCGUGUAGGCGGUUCGGUAAGUCUGCCGUGAAAACCUGGGGCUCAACCCCGGGCGUGCGGUGGAUACUGCCGGGCUAGAGGGUGGUAGAGGCGAGUGGAAUUCCCGGUGUAGCGGUGAAAUGCGCAGAUAUCGGGAGGAACACCGGUGGCGAAGGCGGUUCUCUGGGCCUUACCUGACGCUGAGGAGCGAAAGCGUGGGGAGCGAACAGG
Molecule: ribosomal RNA, 253 nt
Filed under: uncultured bacterium
Lineage: Bacteria
Description: partial 16S ribosomal RNA
Rfam family: Bacterial small subunit ribosomal RNA
Source: RNAcentral